ACCCCCACCAUCUACCGCCACAAUUCACAAUCCAAUCCACCACCACCACCGCCUCCACCAAUUCACAGAUCCACCAACACCACCAUACAUGCUCGACUAGCAUUGAGCAUCGAGCAUUCGUGCAUUGCUCAACACUGAAGUGUCAAGCAUCAACGUUGAACGAUAAUUCAAUUGGAAUGAUUGCUCGACACUCAAGUAUUGAGUGUCGAGCGUACUUGUCGAGAAUCGAGCAAGUUCAAUUUGAACUAUCACUCGACACUCGAGCGUCAAGCAUCGUGUGUCGAGCAUCGAGCACCGAACCUAAUUCAAAUUUGAGGCAAAGCAGAGGCGCAACGCGGAUGAGACGAGGCGAGAUAGAGGGAAGAGGUAACGAAUUUGGAGAGAUAGAGAAAGAGAGAGAGAGAGAGAGAGAAACAAACAAGGAG
This 425-nucleotide long non-coding RNA is filed under the name Salvia miltiorrhiza (redroot sage). RNAcentral's name for it is "long non-coding RNA (SMIL_LNC011805)". Lineage: Eukaryota; Viridiplantae; Streptophyta; Magnoliopsida; Lamiales; Lamiaceae. The record is from RNAcentral.